This 295-nucleotide long non-coding RNA is filed under the name Linum usitatissimum (flax). Its description in RNAcentral is "long non-coding RNA (LUSI_LNC003248)". Lineage: Eukaryota; Viridiplantae; Streptophyta; Magnoliopsida; Malpighiales; Linaceae. The record is from RNAcentral.
AAUCUAUCAUCUCUCUAUCUAGGAAUUAAAUUAAUUUAUAAAUAAAGGAUGGAGUUGUUCCCAGCUCAGCCGGAUUUGUCUCUUCAAAUCAGCCUCCCCAACACCAAACCCGCCUCCUCCACGUGGCGGCGGACCCCCGCAGAAAACGCCGAUGAUAGUCCUUUGACCACCGAUGAAGACGCCGAUGAUAGUCCUUUGGGUGGUUUCUGGAAAAGAGCCCUCGACUCCCGCAGCAGCAACACCGCCAUACCCACAACCACCACCACCAACACCGCCGGAAGCUCCUCUUUUGACC